UACGUAGGGUGCGAGCGUUAAUCGGAAUUACUGGGCGUAAAGCGUGCGCAGGCGGUUCGUUAAGUCAGAUGUGAAAGCCCCGGGCUCAACCUGGGAACUGCAUUUGAAACUGGCGGGCUUGAGUGUGGCAGAGGGGGGUGGAAUUCCAGGUGUAGCGGUGAAAUGCGUAGAUAUCUGGAGAAACACCGGUGGCGAAGGCGGCAUCCUGGACCAAUUCUGACGCUGAGGAGCGAAAGCCAGGGGAGCAAACGGG
Molecule: ribosomal RNA, 253 nt
Filed under: uncultured prokaryote
Description: partial 16S ribosomal RNA
Rfam family: Bacterial small subunit ribosomal RNA
Source: RNAcentral